This 452-nucleotide ribosomal RNA is filed under the name Magallana ariakensis (Suminoe oyster). RNAcentral describes it as "partial large subunit ribosomal RNA". It matches the Rfam family "Bacterial large subunit ribosomal RNA", at positions 1908 to 2597 of the family's 2925-position model. The record is from RNAcentral. Lineage: Eukaryota; Metazoa; Mollusca; Bivalvia; Ostreida; Ostreidae.
GUGCGAAAUAUUACUGUAAACGGCCGCCCUAGCGUGAGGGUGCUAAGGUAGCGAAAUUCCUUGCCUUUUGAUUGUAGGCCUGCAUGAAUGGUUUAACGAGGGUUUAACUGUCUCUUGAUUUAAAAUUGAAAUUGUACUGAAGGUGAAGAUACCUUCAUUAAAAAGUCAGACAAAAAGACCCCGUGCAACUUUGAAAAUUAACUUUAUUCAGAAGUGAGAGAUUUUUAGGUGGGGCGCCUAGAAAGUAAAUCUAACCUUUCUGAACAUUUAGUUCUUUCCGGACUUGACCCGAUUAUAUUCGAUCAUAGGAGAAGUUACGCCGGGGAUAACAGGCUAAUCCUUUAGUAGAGCUCGUAUUGGCUAAAGGGAUUGGCACCUCGAUGUUGAAUCAGGGAUGAUAGCUUCAAGGCGUAGAGGCUUUGAGAGUAGGUCUGUUCGACCUUUAAUACCCU